RNAcentral lists this ribosomal RNA (447 nucleotides) under uncultured bacterium. RNAcentral describes it as "bacterial SSU rRNA". It matches the Rfam family "Bacterial small subunit ribosomal RNA", at positions 355 to 825 of the family's 1533-position model. The record is from RNAcentral.
UCGGGAAUUUUGGGCAAUGGGCGAAAGCCUGACCCAGCAACGCCGCGUGAAGGAUGAAGUAUUUCGGUAUGUAAACUUCGAAAGAAUAGGAAGAAUAAAUGACGGUACUAUUUGUAAGGUCCGGCUAACUACGUGCCAGCAGCCGCGGUAAUACGUAGGGACCAAGCGUUGUUCGGAUUUACUGGGCGUAAAGGGCGCGUAGGCGGCGUGGUAAGUCAUCUGUGAAAUCUCCGAGCUUAACUCGGAACGGUCAGAUGAUACUGCUGUGCUAGAGUACAGAAGGGGCAAUCGGAAUUCUUGGUGUAGCGGUGAAAUGCGUAGAUAUCAAGAGGAACACCUGAGGCGAAGGCGGGUUGCUGGGCUGAUACUGACGCUGAGGCGCGAAAGCUAGGGUAGCAAACGGGAUUAGAUACCCAAGUAGUCCCUGAGCGGGCUGGCAAGGCGCAU